UUGGAGAGUAGAAUGUCCCAAAGAGUCAGG
This 30-nucleotide non-coding RNA is filed under the name Rattus norvegicus (Norway rat). The record is from RNAcentral. Lineage: Eukaryota; Metazoa; Chordata; Mammalia; Rodentia; Muridae.